UCUGCUUGAGUUCCAGGACAGCCAAGGC
Molecule: non-coding RNA, 28 nt
Filed under: Mus musculus (house mouse)
Lineage: Eukaryota; Metazoa; Chordata; Mammalia; Rodentia; Muridae
Source: RNAcentral